CCUACGGGGGGCAGCAGUGGGGAAUAUUGGACAAUGGGGGGAACCCUGAUCCAGCCAUGCCGCGUGUGUGAAGAAGGCCCUCGGGUUGUAAAGCACUUUCAGUGAGGAAGAACGCCUGGUGGUUAAUACCCAUCAGGAAAGACAUCACUCACAGAAGAAGCACCGGCUAACUCCGUGCCAGCAGCCGCGGUAAUACGGAGGGUGCGAGCGUUAAUCGGAAUUACUGGGCGUAAAGCGCGCGUAGGUGGCUUGAUAAGCCGGUUGUGAAAGCCCCGGGCUCAACCUGGGAACGGCAUCCGGAACUGUCAAGCUAGAGUGCAGGAGAGGAAGGUAGAAUUCCCGGUGUAGCGGUGAAAUGCGUAGAGAUCGGGAGGAAUACCAGUGGCCAAGGCGGCCUUCUGGACUGACACUGACACUGAGGUGCGAAAGCGUGGGUAGCAAACAGGAUUAGAUACCCGAGUAGUC
Molecule: ribosomal RNA, 465 nt
Filed under: Vreelandella stevensii
Lineage: Bacteria; Pseudomonadati; Pseudomonadota; Gammaproteobacteria; Oceanospirillales; Halomonadaceae
Description: partial 16S ribosomal RNA
Rfam family: Bacterial small subunit ribosomal RNA
Source: RNAcentral